Molecule: ribosomal RNA, 226 nt
Filed under: uncultured bacterium
Lineage: Bacteria
Description: partial 16S ribosomal RNA
Rfam family: Bacterial small subunit ribosomal RNA
Source: RNAcentral
GACGAACGCUGGCGGCGUGCUUAACACAUGCAAGUCGAGCGAGGCCCGCUCUUCGGGGUGGUGCCCUAGCGGCGAACGGGUGAGUAACACGUGGGCAACCUGCCCUCAGCUCUGGGAUAACUCCAAGAAAUUGGUGCUAAUACCGGAUGUGACCGCUGACCGCAUGGUCUGGUGGUGGAAAGAUUCAUCGGCUGAGGAUGGGCCCGCGGCCUAUCAGCUUGUUGGG